This is a long non-coding RNA of Pezoporus occidentalis (night parrot), 604 nucleotides long. RefSeq lists it as uncharacterized. NCBI's taxonomy places the organism in Eukaryota, Metazoa, Chordata, Aves, Psittaciformes, Psittacidae. The transcript is spliced from 2 exons. The record is from RefSeq and is a predicted model, not a curated record.
UGGAGCUGGGGUGGGGAGAGCAGAGCUGGCCACAAGAGUUUUAGGUUUUUAGAAGCUGUUUCAUUAAGCUUAAACCUCACAACAGCCAUUGGUUCAAAGGACCUGGGGAUGUGGUGCCCUGAUUGUUUGCAGGUGGCUAUGGGGCAGCUAGUUGCUUGCCCACAUGGGAACCAGCUGACAGGAUCUGCCCAUACCUGAUGCACAUAAAAAUCUUACCAGCAUCCUUGUCUUUAAAGGCUUGCUGCAAAGUCAGUGGGCCCAGUUCUUCAUUAGAAUCGUGUUAUGCUAAUGGAAGCUGAUUGGAUUUUGGGUAAAGAUUUGAGGAAUCAAAGCAGGUUCACUCAGCUGCGUGUAUGCAUGUGAUACCUGCCUGGCAGGUUGGUAGCAAGCUCUGCUUCCAGGAGCCCACAUGCUGCUCUCUGCAUUUGAGGGAUAAUUUUGGAUGUCUUCAUCUCUGCUUGCAGGCUGCCGCAGCCCAGCUCUCUCAGCCUGGCUCCAUAGGAAGAGGAAGCUGGAGGAGUGCUCAAAGACACUAAAUUGGAGGGGUCAGUUCCUCUGUCAAGAUGUGGAUCCAGCUCUUGCAAUAAAAGCAUCUCAUGACCAA